CUGAAACAAGUCCAAACAAGGUUUCUGGUUUCGAAGGGAUCACUUCGCUACAGUCGUUUAUAGAACUGGGGUCUAAAUUAAGGCAAUUCAACUAGGCCAUUCUACGCAAUCAAUUCACUCUAGACCACGUAUGAGGACACUCCUAACUAGCGUCUAUGCCACGAGUAAUUGUUGAAGCAACUAGAAACUUACCCGUCCAUCCCCGACUCCACACUUCGUUUCGUACAAUUUGCAAUGAGCAUUUGACUGUCGCUCAUUGUGAGUUGUAGUGGCGAACAUUCACCGAGACAGAGAAUGAUGACAAAAACUCUAAACGGCCGCAUGCUGCUUGGGUUGUGAAGCAGCUCACCCCUAGAGCCACCCGCUUCUCCUGCUUGCAGUUGCCAAGUCAUCUCGAUUACGCUCCUUCCAUUGGUGGCUCACGCGUCUGCUGAAAAGAACAAAGAUGGAACAGGUGGCAUGUGAGGAGAUUUCCAUAAUAAAUGCUGGCCUAGUCAACGAAGUGUUCUGUAGUGUCCAUGAUACAAAUAGUUUAAGUUGUACUCUCAAUAUACAUUCUGGGAAAAUCUUUGUCGACCAGAAUUUAAGUUCAGGUCAGUUUUACGCUAUACCUAAC
Pomacea canaliculata is the source of this 616-nucleotide long non-coding RNA. RefSeq lists it as uncharacterized. The record is from RefSeq and is a predicted model, not a curated record. NCBI's taxonomy places the organism in Eukaryota, Metazoa, Mollusca, Gastropoda, Architaenioglossa, Ampullariidae. The transcript has 3 exons.